Molecule: long non-coding RNA, 302 nt
Organism: Salvelinus sp. IW2-2015
Lineage: Eukaryota; Metazoa; Chordata; Actinopteri; Salmoniformes; Salmonidae
Source: RefSeq, a predicted model, not a curated record
GAAUGAAGCAGACUAUUGUAAGGAUGUCUCUGAAAUCUAACUCAGGAGGUGACCUCAAUGACCCAGUGGUAAAGGAACAGAUGUUGGAGCAGAUCAGAAAGGAGUUUGUUAAGGACGGGAACUUCAUCCAAGGCCUACGCUGGAGAGAACUGCCUAACGGAGAUGUUUUUCACAAAACAGUUGAACUUGGAAGCCCUGAUGAAGGUCAGUGUGGGUCAGGAUGAAGAGGACCAGCCAUGAUGAUGCAGCAGGAGAGGCAUGGAAGGUCCAAGGAAAUCACAUGAUAUAUUAUAUACCUUAUA